This 165-nucleotide ribosomal RNA is filed under the name Digitaria aequatoriensis. RNAcentral describes it as "5.8S ribosomal RNA". It matches the Rfam family "5.8S ribosomal RNA". Rfam says of the family: 5.8S ribosomal RNA (5.8S rRNA) is a component of the large subunit of the eukaryotic ribosome. Lineage: Eukaryota; Viridiplantae; Streptophyta; Magnoliopsida; Poales; Poaceae. The record is from RNAcentral.
UCCACACGACUCUCGGCAACGGAUAUCUCGGCUCUCGCAUCGAUGAAGAACGUAGCAAAAUGCGAUACCUGGUGUGAAUUGCAGAAUCCCGCGAACCAUCGAGUUUUUGAACGCAAGUUGCGCCCGAGGCCUUCUGGUCGAGGGCACGCCUGCCUGGGCGUCACG